This is a non-coding RNA of Equus caballus (horse), 612 nucleotides long. Lineage: Eukaryota; Metazoa; Chordata; Mammalia; Perissodactyla; Equidae. The record is from RefSeq and is a predicted model, not a curated record.
GAGACAGAUUGCAUUCAGACCUUGGAGACAAGGGACCCGCGUGGACACUUCACUGAUGCACAGUGUUUCCAGGUUACAGAGUGCUUUCCCACCCAUUAGCUCACUUGGUACCCCUCCCCCACUCCGACGACCUCAUGGAACCUGGGAUUGUUAUUGUUGGUUGGCUUCUCACAAGCGUAUUUGUGUGGAAGGGGCACCCCCAUUGUCUAGAUGAGCAAACUGAAGAGACUUGCUUAAGGUGGCAGCGCUUGAACCAGACCCUGGACUUUCAAGACCGAGGAAUAUGCAUGUGAUACUGGAGCGGGAGCAACCGUCUGGCAACCAUGAGGAUCAAAGCCACAGACUGACACCAGUAUGGAGAUCCUGGUUCUCUGACAGCCAUGCGCAGCUGCUAUAUCCACCCUGCACAGCCCACUGCCGUGUGUCGUCUUUAUUUGGUGGUUGUUCUAGCCGGGAAACCGGUGAAACAUCCUAUGAGGGAAUCUACCCAAGAGUGAGCUCCUCGAGAGAAGGCUCUGCCUCAAACAGACCUUUGUGUCCUCCACAGGGCUUAGAAAGGUUCUUGUCUGAUAAGUAUUUGUUGAAAAAAAAUAUACAAGCACAAGUCUCUCC